GUCCGCACUGUAAACGAUGAUUACUCGCUGCUAGAGGGCAACCUUUAGUGGCUUAGCGAAAGCGAUAAGUAAUCCACCUGGGGAGUACGCCGGCAACGGUGAAACUCAAAGGAAUUGACGGGGGCCCGCACAAGCGGAUGAGCAUGUGGUUUAAUUCGAUGAUACGCGAGGAACCUUACCAGGGCUUGAAAGUUAGUGACCGCCUCUGAAAGGAGGCUUCCCGCAAGGGCACAAAACUAGGUGCUGCAUGGCUGUCGU
RNAcentral lists this ribosomal RNA (258 nucleotides) under uncultured bacterium. RNAcentral's name for it is "partial 16S ribosomal RNA". It matches the Rfam family "Bacterial small subunit ribosomal RNA", at positions 793 to 1055 of the family's 1533-position model. The record is from RNAcentral.